RNAcentral lists this ribosomal RNA (459 nucleotides) under uncultured bacterium. RNAcentral's name for it is "partial 16S ribosomal RNA". It matches the Rfam family "Bacterial small subunit ribosomal RNA", at positions 338 to 795 of the family's 1533-position model. The record is from RNAcentral.
CCUACGGGUGGCAGCAGUGAGGAAUAUUGGUCAAUGGGCGGAAGCCUGAACCAGCCAAGUCGCGUGAGGGAAUAAGGCCCUACGGGUCGUAAACCUCUUUUGCCGGGGAGCAAGGGCGGGGACGUGUCCCGUCCCGGAGAGUACCCGGAGAAAAAGCAUCGGCUAACUCCGUGCCAGCAGCCGCGGUAAUACGGAGGAUGCGGGCGUUCUCCGGUUUUAUUGGGUUUAAAGGGGGCGUGGGCGGACUUUUCAGUCAGGGGUAAAAAUUCGGGGCUCAACCCCGGCCGGCCGUUAAAACUGGGGCCUUGAGUGGGCGAGAAGAAGGCGGAAUGCGUGGUGUAGCGGUGAAAUGCAUAGAUAUCACGCAGAACCCCGAUUGCGAAGGCAGCCUUCCGGCGCCCUACUGACGCUGAGGCACGAAAGUGCGGGGAUCGAACAGGAUUAGAUACCCCUGUAGUC